GAAUUUUAUAUAAUUUUGUUAAAAUUGAUUAAUUUAAAUAAAUAAUAAAUUUAUAUUUUGUUGGGAGGAUAAUUAAAUUAAAUAAACUUUAAUAAUGUAAAAAUCAUUAAUUUAUGGUUAUUAAAAAAUGAGUGAUUAUUAUAAUUAAAUAGAAUUAAUUACCUUAGGGAUAACAGCGUAAUAUCUUUAGAGAGAUCUUAUUAAUAAAGAUGUUUGU
Molecule: ribosomal RNA, 217 nt
Filed under: Pheidole flavens
Lineage: Eukaryota; Metazoa; Arthropoda; Insecta; Hymenoptera; Formicidae
Description: partial large subunit ribosomal RNA
Source: RNAcentral